GACGAACGCUGGCGGCGUGCCUAAUACAUGCAAGUAGAACGCUGAAGAGAGGAGCUUGCUCUUCUUGGAUGAGUUGCGAACGGGUGAGUAACGCGUAGGUAACCUGCCUUGUAGCGGGGGAUAACUAUUGGAAACGAUAGCUAAUACCGCAUAACAAUGGAUGACACAUGUCAUUUAUUUGAAAGGGGCAAUUGUUCCACUACAAGAUGGACCUGCGUUGUAUUAGCUAGUAGGUGAGGUAAUGGCUCACCUAGGCGACGAUACAUAGCCGACCUGAGAGGGUGAUCGGCCACCCUGGGACUGAGACCCGGCCCAGACUCCUACGGGAGGCAGCAGUAGGGAAUCUUCGGCAAUGGGGGCAACCCUGACCGAGCAACGCCGCGUGAGUGAAGAAGGUUUUCGGGUCGUAAAGCUCUGUUGUAAGUCAAGAACGGGAGUGAGAGUGGAAAGUUCACACUGUGACGGUAGCUUACCAGAAAGGGACGGCUAACUACGUG
Molecule: ribosomal RNA, 497 nt
Filed under: uncultured bacterium
Lineage: Bacteria
Description: partial 16S ribosomal RNA
Rfam family: Bacterial small subunit ribosomal RNA
Source: RNAcentral